Molecule: ribosomal RNA, 1253 nt
Filed under: metagenome
Description: bacterial LSU rRNA
Rfam family: Bacterial large subunit ribosomal RNA
Source: RNAcentral
ACACGACCGUACCGCAAACCGACACUGGCGCGCGAGAUGAGUAUUCUAAGGCGCUUGAGAGAACUCAGGAGAAGGAACUCGGCAAAUUGACACCGUAACUUCGGAAGAAGGUGUGCCUUUAGUAGGUGAACCAUUUACUUGGGGAGCCCAAUGAGGCUGCAAAAAAUCGGUGGCUGCAACUGUUUAUUAAAAACACAGCACUCUGCUAAGACGAAAGUCGACGUAUAGGGUGUGACGCCUGCCCGGUGCUGGAAGAUUAAAUGAUGGGGUGCAAGCUCUUGAUUGAAGUCCCAGUAAACGGCGGCCGUAACUAUAACGGUCCUAAGGUAGCGAAAUUCCUUGUCGGGUAAGUUCCGACCUGCACGAAUGGCGUAAUGAUGGCCACACUGUCUCCUCCUGAGACUCAGCGAAGUUGAAAUGUUUGUGAUGAUGCAAUCUCCCCGCGGAAAGACGGAAAGACCCCAUGAACCUUUACUGUAGCUUUGUAUUGGACUUUGAACAGAUCUGUGUAGGAUAGGUGGGAGGCUUUGAAGUGUGGUCGCUAGAUCGCAUGGAGCCAACGUUGAAAUACCACCCUGGUGUGUUUGAGGUUCUAACCUAGGUCCAUUAUCUGGAUCGGGGACAGUGCAUGGUAGGCAGUUUGACUGGGGCGGUCUCCUCCCAAAGUGUAACGGAGGAGUUCGAAGGUACGCUAGGUACGGUCGGACAUCGUGCUAAUAGUGCAAUGGCAUAAGCGUGCUUAACUGCGAGACUGACAAGUCGAGCAGAUGCGAAAGCAGGACAUAGUGAUCCGGUGGUUCUGUAUGGAAGGGCCAUCGCUCAACGGAUAAAAGGUACUCUGGGAUAACAGGCUGAUACCGCCCAAGAGUUCAUAUCGACGGCGGUGUUUGGCACCUCGAUGUCGGCUCAUCUCAUCCUGGGGCUGUAGCCGGUCCCAAGGGUAUGGCUGUUCGCCAUUUAAAGAGGUACGUGAGCUGGGUUUAAAACGUCGUGAGACAGUUUGGUCCCUAUCUUCCGUGGGCGCUGCAGAUUUGAGGAAGCCUGCUCCUAGUACGAGAGGACCGGAGUGGACGAACCUCUGGUGUAUCGGUUGUCACGCCAGUGGCAUUGCCGAGUAGCUAAGUUCGGAAGAGAUAACCGCUGAAAGCAUCUAAGCGGGAAACUCGUUUCAAGAUUAGAUCUGCCGGGGCCUUGAGCCCCCUAAAGAGUCGUUCAAGACCAGGACGUUGAUAGGUCAGGUGUGGAAGCGAAAA